Phrynosoma platyrhinos (Desert horned lizard) is the source of this 71-nucleotide non-coding RNA. The record is from the annotation of a GenBank genome assembly. Lineage: Eukaryota; Metazoa; Chordata; Lepidosauria; Squamata; Phrynosomatidae.
GCCACUGUGGCAUAGUGGUUUGAGUGUUGCACUACAGCUCUGGAGACAGGGUUCGAUUCCCAACUCUGCCA